This 468-nucleotide ribosomal RNA is filed under the name uncultured bacterium. RNAcentral describes it as "partial 16S ribosomal RNA". It matches the Rfam family "Bacterial small subunit ribosomal RNA", at positions 28 to 507 of the family's 1533-position model. The record is from RNAcentral.
GACGAACGCUGGCGGCGUGCUUAACACAUGCAAGUCGAACGGAAAGGCCCUGCUUGUGUGGGGUGCUCGAGUGGCGAACGGGUGAGUAACACGUGAGUAACCUGCCCUUGACUUUGGGAUAACUUCAGGAAACUGGGGCUAAUACCGGAUAGGAGCUCCUGCUGCAUGGUGGGGGUUGGAAAGUUUCGGCGGUUGGGGAUGGACUCGCGGCUUAUCAGCUUGUUGGUGGGGUAGUGGCUUACCAAGGCUUUGACGGGUAGCCGGCCUGAGAGGGUGAACGGGGACCAUGGGACUGCGGGACGCACCAGAGGGCAACGGUAGACAGCAGUGGAGAAUAUUACCCAGUGGGCGGAAGCCUGAUGCGGAAACGCCGCGUGCGGGAUGACGGCCUUCGGGGUGUAAACCGCUUUCGCCUGUGACGAAGCGUGAGUGACGGUAAUGGAUAAAGAAGCACCGGCUAACUACGUG